This is a non-coding RNA of Budorcas taxicolor (takin), 73 nucleotides long. Lineage: Eukaryota; Metazoa; Chordata; Mammalia; Artiodactyla; Bovidae. The record is from the annotation of a RefSeq genome assembly.
UCCUUGGUGGUCCAGUGGCUAGGACGCCACGCCCCCAAUGCAGGGGGCCUGGGUUCAAUCCCCGGUCAGGGAA